Long non-coding RNA from Oncorhynchus tshawytscha (Chinook salmon), 716 nucleotides. The record is from Ensembl. Lineage: Eukaryota; Metazoa; Chordata; Actinopteri; Salmoniformes; Salmonidae.
AGGGGUUAUGUCAGUAGUCUAGUGUGAGGGGUUGUGUCAGUAGUCUAGUGUGAGGGGUUAUGUCAGUAGUCUAGUGUGAGGGGUUAUAUCAGUAGUCUAGUGUGAGGGGUUGUGUCAGUAGUCUAGUGUGAGGGGUUGUGUCAGUAGUCUAGUGUGAGGGGUUAUGUCAGUAGUCUAGUGUGAGGGGUUAUAUCAGGGGAGACAGUGUGUCAGUAGUCUAGUGUGAGGGGUUAUGUCAGUAGUCUAGUGUGAGGGGUUAUAUCAGGGGAGACAGUGUGUCAGUAGUCUAGUGUGAGGUGCAGGAAUAUUGUCAAGUGAACCUGGGGAGCUUUGUGUUCACAUUGACUUAAAAAAGGGAACCGGACCCCAAACUUCAAGCGAAUCGAACUGAACCCAUCUCUCGAAAUGUCUCAGUUCCGUUCACUUCUGGGGCUCUUUUGAGGGGUCAGAGUUCAUGUGGAGUGCACAUUGCACAACAAAAAUUAAGGGAACCACACUGAGUUCACAAGAAUUGUCUGAAAGGGACCAAGUGGUGAAAACACCUAGCUGCUGUGUAUACAGGACACUUCAAUGUUUACAUACUGUUUUACCCCUAGUCAUAUGUACUAGUUCAUCCUAUAUAACUACUGCUGUCCACUUCAUAUGUAUAUACUGUAUUCUAGUUCAUCCUAUAUAACUACUGUUGUCCUCUUCAUAUGUAAAUACUGUAUUCUAGU